GCAAGUCGAACGAUGACGCCUAGCUUGCUAGGUGGACUAGUGGCGCACGGGUGCGUAAUAUAUAGGUAACGUGCCUCUUAGUCUGGGAUAGCCAUUGGAAACGAUGAUUAAUACUAGAUACUCCUUCUCAUUAUAAUAUGAGUCGGGAAAGUUUUUCGCUAAGAGAUCGGCCUAUUUCCCAUCAGCUUGUUGGUAGUGUAAGAGACUACCAAGGCUAUGACGGGUAGCUGGUUUGAGAGGAUGAUC
RNAcentral lists this ribosomal RNA (246 nucleotides) under uncultured bacterium. Its description in RNAcentral is "partial 16S ribosomal RNA". It matches the Rfam family "Bacterial small subunit ribosomal RNA", at positions 57 to 305 of the family's 1533-position model. The record is from RNAcentral.